UGCUCGAGUGGCGAACUGGUGAGUAACACGUGAGUAACCUGCCCUUGACUUUGGGAUAACUUCAGGAAACUGGGGCUAAUACCGGAUAGGAGCUCCUGCUGCAUGGUGGGGGUUGGAAAGUUUCGGCGGUUGGGGAUGGACUCGCGGCUUAUCAGCUUGUUGGUGGGGUAGUGGCUUACCAAGGCUUUGACGGGUAGCCGGCCUGAGAGGGUGACCGGCCACAUUGGGACUGAGAUACGGCCCAG
This 245-nucleotide ribosomal RNA is filed under the name uncultured Actinomycetales bacterium. RNAcentral's name for it is "partial 16S ribosomal RNA". It matches the Rfam family "Bacterial small subunit ribosomal RNA", at positions 88 to 334 of the family's 1533-position model. Lineage: Bacteria; Bacillati; Actinomycetota; Actinomycetes; Actinomycetales. The record is from RNAcentral.